GUGCUUGCUUUGGCAGCACAUAAAGUAAAAUUGGAAUGAUAUAGAGAAGACUUAGCAUGUCCCCUUCACAAAGAUAACAAGCAAAUUUGUGAACUCUUCCAUGAUAAA
Molecule: small nuclear RNA, 108 nt
Organism: Sciurus vulgaris (Eurasian red squirrel)
Lineage: Eukaryota; Metazoa; Chordata; Mammalia; Rodentia; Sciuridae
Source: Ensembl